RNAcentral lists this ribosomal RNA (388 nucleotides) under uncultured bacterium. RNAcentral's name for it is "bacterial SSU rRNA". It matches the Rfam family "Bacterial small subunit ribosomal RNA", at positions 975 to 1375 of the family's 1533-position model. The record is from RNAcentral.
CCAGACUUGACAUGCGAGUGGUAGGAACUCGAAAGAGAACCGACCCGCAAGGGAGCUCGCACAGGUGUUGCACGGCUGUCGUCAGCUCGUGUCGUGAGAUGUUGGGUUAAGUCCCGCAACGAGCGCAACCCUCGGGGUCUGUUGUAUCACUCAGAUCCCACUGCCGAGAGGAACUCGGAGGAAGGUGGGGACGAAGUCAAGUCCGCGUGGCCUUUAUGUCUGGGGCUACACGCACGCUACAAUCGCCGGUCACAGCGGGUCGCGACAACGCAAGUUGAAGCUAAUCCCUUAAAACCGGCGUCAGUUCAGAUCGAAGGCUGCAACCCGCCUUCGUGAAGUCGGAGUUGCUAGUAACCGCGGGUCAGCACACCGCGGUGAAUAUGUUCCC